CAGCAGCCGCGGGAAUACGAAGGGGGCUAGCGUUGUUCGGAAUUACUGGGCGUAAAGGGCGCGUAGGCGGCCAUUCAAGUUAGAUGUGAAAGCCCUGGGCUCAACCUAGGAAUUGCAUUUGAUACUGGCUAUCUUGAGUUCGGGAGAGGUGAGUGGAAUGCCGAGUGUAGAGGUGAAAUUCGUAGAUAUUCGGCGGAACACCAGUGGCGAAGGCGACUCACUGGCCCGAUACUGACGCUGAGGCGCGAAAGCGUGGGGAGCAAACAGGAUUAGAUACCCGUGUAGUCCCUGUCUCUUAUAC
Molecule: ribosomal RNA, 301 nt
Filed under: uncultured bacterium
Lineage: Bacteria
Description: partial 16S ribosomal RNA
Rfam family: Bacterial small subunit ribosomal RNA
Source: RNAcentral